AGUGAACGCUGGCGGUAGGCCUAACACAUGCAAGUCGAACGGCAGCACAGAGGAGCUUGCUCCUUGGGUGGCGAGUGGCGGACGUGUGAGGAAUACAUCGGAAUCUACUCUGUCGUGGGGGAUAACGUAGGGAAACUUACGCUAAUACCGCAUACGACCUACGGGUGAAAGCAGGGGACCUUCGGGCCUUGCGCGAUUGAAUGAGCCGAUGUGGGAUUAGCUAGUUGGCGGGGUAAAGGCCCACCAAGGCGACGAUCCGUAGCUGGUCUGAGAGGAUGAUCAGCCACACUGGAACUGAGACACGGUCCAGACUCCUACGGGAGGCAGCAGUGGGGAAUAUUGGACAAUGGGCGCAAGCCUGGUCCAGCCAUACCGCGUGGGUGAAGAAGGCCUUCGGGUUGUAAAGCCCUUUUGUUGGGAAAGAAAUCCAGCUGGCUAAUACCCGGUUGGGAUGACGGUACCCAAAGAAUAAGCACCGGCUAACUUCGUGCCAGCCGCCGCAGUAA
This 506-nucleotide ribosomal RNA is filed under the name uncultured bacterium. Its description in RNAcentral is "partial 16S ribosomal RNA". It matches the Rfam family "Bacterial small subunit ribosomal RNA", at positions 29 to 523 of the family's 1533-position model. The record is from RNAcentral.